Nicotiana tabacum (common tobacco) is the source of this 774-nucleotide non-coding RNA. The record is from RefSeq and is a predicted model, not a curated record. Lineage: Eukaryota; Viridiplantae; Streptophyta; Magnoliopsida; Solanales; Solanaceae.
UAUUGCACCUUUUUUUAAUGUUCAAAACUUUGCAGACGGAUGCUCUAUUAUAAGAUGCAAAGGCGAUCGAACCUAUGAAUUAAUUAAUUUUCCUCUUUUAAGUUUUAACCUCUCUUUUGCCUGAAGAAAAUUUUCUUUUUUCUAAGGUAAAUGCUUUAGCAGGCAAAUCUCUAUUAAGCCACCAAAGAGAGAGAGAGAAGAGCAAUCAUAAGCAAAAAUCAUCGCCUAAUAUAUCGCUAAUUCAACUAUCCACCAAAGAGAGAGAGAGAGAGAGAAGCAAUCAUAAGCAGAAAUCAUCGCCUAAUAUAUCGCUAAUUCAACUUUCCACCAAAGAGAGAGAGAGAAGAGCAAUCAUAAGCAAAAAUCAUCGCCUAAUAUAUCGCUAAUUCAACUAUACGGAUGCUCUAUUAUAAGAUGCAAAGGCGAUCGAACCUAUGAAUUAAUUAAUUUUCCUCUUUUAAGUUUUAACCUCUCUUUUGCCUGAAGAAAAUUUUCUUUUUUCUAAGGUAAAUGCUUUAGCAGGCAAAUCUCUAUUAAGCCACCAAAGAGAGAGAGAGAGAGAAGAAAUCAUAAGCAGAAAUCAUCGCCUAAUAUAUUGCUAAGUCAACUUUCCACCAAAGAGAGAGAGAGAGAGAGAAGAAAUCAUAAGCAGAAAUCAUCGCCUAAUAUAUCGCUAAUUCAACAUUGUAAGGAAAUUCAAAAUCUCUCUAUCUUUUUUUUCCUAAUUUUUCUUCAUCAACUUCAUUUUUUUUUUUGGUAAAUUAAAUAUUGCAC